Molecule: ribosomal RNA, 464 nt
Filed under: uncultured bacterium
Lineage: Bacteria
Description: bacterial SSU rRNA
Rfam family: Bacterial small subunit ribosomal RNA
Source: RNAcentral
CCUACGGGGGGCUGCAGUGGGGAAUAUUGCGCAAUGGGGGAAACCCUGACGCAGCGACGCCGCGUGAGCGAAGAAGGCCUUCGGGUCGUAAAGCUCUGUCAUCGGGGACGAAGGCUCUUUUGUGAAUAGCAAAAGAGGUGACGGUACCCGGGGAGGAAGCCACGGCUAACUACGUGCCAGCAGCCGCGGUAAUACGUAGGUGGCAAGCGUUGUCCGGAAUUACUGGGCGUAAAGGGCGUGUAGGCGGUCUGAUAAGUCAGGAGUGAAAAACCUGGGCUCAACCGAGGUAUUGCUUCUGAAACUGUAGGGCUUGAGUGCAGGAGAGGAGAGUGGAAUUCCCAGUGUAGCGGUGAAAUGCGUAGAUAUUGGGAGGAACACCAGUUGCGAAGGCGGCUCUCUGGACUGUAACUGACGCUGAGGCACGAAAGCGUGGGGAGCGAACAGGAUUAGAUACCCGAGUAGUC